RNAcentral lists this long non-coding RNA (459 nucleotides) under Dromaius novaehollandiae (emu). Its description in RNAcentral is "lncRNA (ENSDNVG00000015700.1)". The record is from RNAcentral. Lineage: Eukaryota; Metazoa; Chordata; Aves; Casuariiformes; Dromaiidae.
UGACAUUUCCUACCCCAAAUCUCAGCAAAAUGCCUUAACAGUUAGCUUCUGUCAAGGAUUAUGGCAGGCACCUGUCAAAUUAGCUCUCUAUUGCUACAGUCACAUCAGUACUCCCUGGUAGCCUACAGGGAGGAGACAGCACGCUGUUCCUUGCAGCCAGACCAGCUCUGGGCUAUCUUUUGAAUCCAGCACCAAGGGAGAAAUCUGUGCUGGGUUUCAAAACACCUCCUCAGCUACUGUGAAAGCGUUGUGCAAGGUUCACGGGAAAAGACAGCUUUUCUCUCUGUGGGAAGGUUGCCUCUCAGAGCGGGGGAGGCCUAUGCAGACACAGGACUCCCAGUGUAUUUGGUGGUGCUGACUUCUGAGGGAAUUCGGAGCAGGCUUGCAAGAGGAGAGGAAGAAGUAAUUGGAGGGAAGAAGACAGUUUUUAAGGCCUUCACUGGCAGUUGUCCCCCAGCU